This is a long non-coding RNA of Exaiptasia diaphana, 162 nucleotides long. RefSeq lists it as uncharacterized. NCBI's taxonomy places the organism in Eukaryota, Metazoa, Cnidaria, Anthozoa, Actiniaria, Aiptasiidae. The record is from RefSeq and is a predicted model, not a curated record. The transcript has 2 exons.
CUUCGGUGUUCAUAAUCUGCGCAUGACGAAAUCCGUUUGAAUCCGACUGCAUUUUGCAUAAUAACCACUACAGAAAACAUCAGGUAGUUGAAGCUGUUUUUGCCUCUCAACGCGAUCGGAACGUCGAACAUCACUUCAAAGAUCCUCAAAGCUAUAAGUAAG